GAUGAACGCUGGCGGCGUGCUUAACACAUGCAAGUCGAACGGGAAAUAUUUCAUUGAGACUUCGGUGGAUUUGAUUUAUUUCUAGUGGCGGACGGGUGAGUAACGCGUGGGUAACCUGCCUUAUACAGGGGGAUAACAGUCAGAAAUGGCUGCUAAUACCGCAUAAGCGCACAGAGCUGCAUGGCUCAGUGUGAAAAACUCCGGUGGUAUAAGAUGGACCCGCGUUGGAUUAGCUCGUUGGUGGGGUAACGGCCCACCAAGGCGACGAUCCAUAGCCGGCCUGAGAGGGUGAACGGCCACAUUGAGACUGAGACACGGCCCAGACUCCUACGGGAGGCAGCAGUGGGGAAUAUUGCACAAUGGGGGAAACCCUGAUGCAGCGACGCCGCGUGAAGGAAGAAGUAUCUCGGUAUGUAAACUUCUAUCAGCAGGGAAGAUAGUGACGGUACCUGACUAAGAAGCCCCGGCUAACUACGUG
RNAcentral lists this ribosomal RNA (478 nucleotides) under uncultured bacterium. RNAcentral describes it as "partial 16S ribosomal RNA". It matches the Rfam family "Bacterial small subunit ribosomal RNA", at positions 28 to 507 of the family's 1533-position model. The record is from RNAcentral.